CUUCCGGGAACGCCGAAUCCUGCCGCCCGGACCGCGGAAAACACGCAAUCCCAGCCCGGCAGGAGCGGGGGACCCAGGUAAGCGCCGCGCGUUUCGCACCCGAGGAACGCACGGCUAGGGGUGAAGCCGCACCCGAAUGCCCCCUCGCAUUCGGUGCGGCCGGGCCACUCCAGCCCGAAUCCGACAGCUCACCUCGCAGGCGCAGGAGAGGAACU
This 215-nucleotide small RNA is filed under the name Streptomyces abyssalis. Its description in RNAcentral is "c-di-AMP sequence". The stretch from base 34 to 215 matches the Rfam family "c-di-AMP riboswitch aptamer (ydaO/yuaA leader)". Rfam says of the family: This family represents a conserved RNA structure found upstream of the ydaO and yuaA genes in Bacillus subtilis and related genes in other bacteria. The ydaO/yuaA element is thought to act as a genetic "off" switch for the ydaO and yuaA genes in its native state. Lineage: Bacteria; Bacillati; Actinomycetota; Actinomycetes; Kitasatosporales; Streptomycetaceae. The record is from RNAcentral.